AAACCGUGUUGUGGGCAUGAACUGACAAGAUCCUUGAAUCACUCCUAAUAUUGGAUGAAUGUUUCAUCUUCCUUUUGGACAAAGUUCAUGAUUGACUUUCUAAGGGU
This is a small nucleolar RNA of Magnolia sinica, 107 nucleotides long. The record is from RefSeq and is a predicted model, not a curated record. Lineage: Eukaryota; Viridiplantae; Streptophyta; Magnoliopsida; Magnoliales; Magnoliaceae.